Molecule: ribosomal RNA, 253 nt
Filed under: uncultured bacterium
Lineage: Bacteria
Description: partial 16S ribosomal RNA
Rfam family: Bacterial small subunit ribosomal RNA
Source: RNAcentral
UACGUAGGUGGCAAGCGUUGUCCGGAUUUACUGGGCGUAAAGAGCGCGCAGGCGGUCGUUCAAGUCGCGUGUGAAAGCCCCCGGCUCAACUGGGGAGGGUCACGCGAUACUGAUCGACUCGAAGGCAGGAGAGGGUAGUGGAAUUCCCGGUGUAGUGGUGAAAUGCGUAGAUAUCGGGAGGAACACCAAUGGCGAAGGCAGCUUGCUGGGACGGUACUGACGCUGAGACGCGAAAGCGUGGGGAGCAAACAGG